AUUGAACGCUGGCGGCAUGCCUAACACAUGCAAGUCGAACGGAAACGGGCCUUCGGGGGCCGACGAGUGGUGGACGGGGGCGGAAGACAAAGGAACGUGCCCGAUCGCGGGGGAAAACGAGGCGAAAGCUGAGCCAAGAGCGCAUACGGUCUACGGAUGAAAGCAGGGGGGCGCAAAGGUGAGCGCGGAUGGUGCGGCCGCUGGCAGAUGAGGCCGUUGGUGAGGUAAAAGCUUACCAAGCCGACGAUCUGUAGCUGGUCUGAGAGGAUGAUCAGCCACACUGGGACUGAGACACGGCCCAGACUCCUACGGGAGGCAGCAGUGGGGAAUUUUGGACAAUGGGCGCAAGCCUGAUCCAGCCAUGCCGCGUGCAGGAUGAAGGCCUUCGGGUUGUAAACUGCUUUUGUACGGAACGAACAGCCUUCUUUUAAUCCGGGCGGGUCAUGACGGUACCGUAAGAAUAAGCCCCGGCUAACUACGUG
RNAcentral lists this ribosomal RNA (482 nucleotides) under uncultured bacterium. RNAcentral's name for it is "partial 16S ribosomal RNA". It matches the Rfam family "Bacterial small subunit ribosomal RNA", at positions 29 to 507 of the family's 1533-position model. The record is from RNAcentral.